RNAcentral lists this long non-coding RNA (4911 nucleotides) under Gallus gallus (chicken). Lineage: Eukaryota; Metazoa; Chordata; Aves; Galliformes; Phasianidae. The record is from RNAcentral.
AAAAAAAAAAAGCAUAUUCCACUUAUCACUUCAUACAGGCAAAGAAUCAGUCAGGCUAAAUAUUCUGGCUGUAUGGUUUCUCUACUGUAUUUUCUUAACAAUGGGGAGUUUUGAAAUUUAUGAAGCAGAAAAUCUAGUCUGAUUAUGCUUGAUGACCCAAAUAAAGAAGACAAACUUCUGAUUUAUUAAUAAUAAUUGUACCUAACUACUUUUGAUUGCCUCUUAAAACAGUUCUUAUAGACUAAAAGCCCAGAAAUAGCCUUUCAGCUGUCUAUUGUUCUUAAUAUAAAUGAGAAUGUUUUCUAAAAUUUAAAAAUUAGAAUAGAGUGGUUCACAUCACAUUCCCAUUUCCCUUUCCCAGUGGUCUUGUGCUUUUAUUUACUCAUGUACUGAGAUUAAUUUAACAAGACAGAAAGUACUUGUGCAAACAAAGUAGAACCCUUUUAGGGGCAAACAUCCUGGUUGUAGGGAUUACCUGUGUCAGCAGAGAGCAUUAUGUUGCAAGUAAACUAAUUAACAAUAAAACAUUAUCAGAAGCAUUAUAACAAAACUUUCAUGAAUUGUGCCUUAUAAAUAUUAAAAAAAAAAAAAAAAUCUGGUUUUCUGUACCAUGAACUGAAUAAUUCCACAUGGUAUCAAGUUUGGGUUCUGUUUACUCUCAGUUAUCUCUUAAACCUCAUAUCUUAGCUCCUUCUUCAACGUGCUGUACAGGUCAUAAAUUCUGAUCACCAUUAAAUCACAUAUUUUUUUUAAUUGCAUUUUAUGCAGUCUUUCAAGAAGGAUGUGUAAAUAUAAUGAAAUAUAUGCUUGAGAGAUAUUUUGCCCUUUACAAUAGUGUAAUCAGUGAAACGUGGAAACUCCCAAACACUUACUUGAGUGUUAAAAAGGCAAUGAAUAACAUAAGGAUACAUAAGGAUAUUUCCAGAAAAAAACCAACCAUAAAAACAAAUGUUAAGAAAACCUGUUCUGAUUACAGAUUCUGAUCUGAUUAAGUAAUUCAAUAUUUACUUAUUUUGCUCUUGUGCAUGCAAUCACUUAACUUAAUUCAAACUUUACACUAUUAGUACUCUAGACUAUGUACUUUGUAUCUCAGUCUUUUUAGAUAUUUACAUGUAGAUUAAUUUUUAAAUACUUAUGUUUUUAUCUUGCUCGCCAGCUGGGUGAAAAUGCUGCAAGUUUCAGAAAAUAUGUCAAUGAUGGGUUUUUUUGUUUGUUUUGUUUUUGUUUUUGUAUCUAUGAGAAAUAUACAUUACCUCUUAUUGCUCAUUCUUGGUGGAAAAAUGUAAAAUAAAAUCCUAAUGUAGCAGAAUAGAAUGUACUCAGCCUAGUUCUAUAAGUAGGUUCAUUAUCUUCUGUCUAUGUGUGUUUAGCUUGAUAUCACCACAUUAAAUAAGUGUGUCUGUCAAAUUAUUGGCAGUUUUUGUCUCCCAGAAUUUAAGUUCUUGCUUUGAUGAACUGAAAGUCUCUUUCUUAUAUAUGUGCUAAAAGAAAACUUCAGUAGGUGGUUAAAAAGGUCACAAUAUAGCCUUGGAUAGUUUAUAUAUACAUAUAUAUAUAUAUAUAUGUAUGUAUGUAUGUAUUUAAAGCCAAGAGUAUUCCUCUCUUAAAAUGUGUCUCAAGGAAGCACAGAGAACAAUGAUACAAGUCAUCAAGUCAUACAAAAUCUUGGGAAUCGGAUCUGGUGUAAGAAGUCCUAUACAUGGUUAUAAGGAAGUAGUUUAAUUUUGCAUAUUGUUAUAACUGAGAUCUGAUUUCACAGGAAAUCAGGUAUUUCUAAUAGUUUUACUGCUCAUCAUGAGCUUCAUUUGUGGUUUUACUUGAACAUUUCCUUUCUCAGGAAGGCUACAGAAGAACAGUAUAGAAGCCUUUAACAAUACCUAAAUUCAUCAACAGAUGCAAUGGAGAAUUUAACACACCAAAACUCUAUGCUCAAAUAAAAACACUACUAGUACAGUACUUUCUGAAAUAGACUGUGUCAGAAUGUUUUAUAGUUUCAUAUUCUCAUGCCGUGACAUUGGAUGUGUUUAUGAGUUAAAAUAAGCAACAAGCAGACUAUCCUAACUGCAGGCUAUAAAAGCUCAAUCAGGGACCUAGACGUCAGACUAAUCUCUUGGCCUAUUGGUCAUUUCUGUAGUUGGAGUGAACUGCCUCUAUUGAUGAAGAUGCACCAGCACUGUACACCAUGUGAUUCCUCAUCUGCUCAAAUUGUGCAUUUUCUCUGAUUGAUUCUCCUUAUCCAUAAGAGGACUGAGGUGCUAAAAGAAGUACUACUAUUAAGAUGAUAAUGAUAUCAUAACACUUGUCAGGUUAAAAAAAUAAAUAAAUACUGCUUUACAAAUGAGAAAACAAACCCAGAUGUGCUUGUUUGGCUUCCAGAGUGGUGAUAAAGUAAGGAGAGAAUAGAGCUGGAUGUUGAACCAAAAGCAUCUGCAUCCAUGUGAGUUCUCUUUCAUAAUGUGAGUGACUCCUUAAUAAUCUCUAUAAAUGUCCUUCCCACACUUUCCCACACAAGGGGAAAGGCAUCAUCAUUUGGUUAGGAUCGGUAUUCCCCAUUGUCAUUUCCUGGCUGCUUAAAUCAUAUUUUUAAGUGCUGACUUUGGCACAACUCAACACUUUGUAGAUUGAGAAAGACCUUCAAUCCAGACUUUUUAAUCUCAGAGUUACUUUUGAACUCCUUCUGGGUAUGGGAAGCUAAAUGAGGAGCUAAAAUCCAAAUGUCCCUCUUUUUGAGUUGUGUUUGGGACACCAAGUGCUGUUUCUAAUUCUCUGAUAGUCCUCUCUAAAAGGGAACAGGUCAGUCAUUUGUACACAAGAGGUAUUGGUAUAUGGAAAACAGUAUCAGAUGUGAAUCCCUUUAGAUGCCUAAAAAGUGAUUCUUUAAGCAUCUGUCAAUUGUCUCUUGAUUGUUUUGUGUAUACUUACUUCAAGGCUGCUGUGAACACUGUCCUCAAACAUCUACCUAUCCCUGUUCAAUGUUCACAGAAAUUGAGUCACUUAACUCUUGUGCUUGUAAGUGCUAUGUGUCUCAGUAAGACUGAUGACAGUCAUGAUUGUCACAUUAUUUAAUCAUCUGGCUCUUUUAUACUUACCUCCUCUGAACUUCUGAACUAUUUGUCUGAUCCCAGGACAAAUGUGAACCAAAACAGACCUUUAUCUAGCUACAUAUUUGGUGCCUUUUAAAAAUCAGAUGGAACUCAAAAAUAUACUAGUGUUUUUAGUUCACCAACAAAUAACUCUCAAGUGUGUUUUUACCAUUUAAUUAUUUCUUCUUAGACCCACAUCUCACCAUAUUAUUAGAUUAAGAUUGCAUAAGCAUACAUCAUCUGAAUAGUUUUACCAGAAACCACAGGGAGGUAAUAUUCAGGAACAUAGAAUCAUAGAAUCAUUAAGGUUGGAAAAGACUUCUAAGAUCAUCUAGUCCGGCUGUCCACCUACCACUAAUAUUUCCCCACUAUACCAUAUUUCUUAGUAUCACAUCGACACGUUUCUUGAACGCCUCCAGAUAUGGUGACUCAAUCACCACAUCUUUGCACAAAUGAAAUCCUUUAUAGUUAGGAUUAUAAAUAUUGAGAGGCGUUGUUAAAAAUUAAGUUAGAAAAUUCCUCAAACCUUCCAGAUCUGCUUAUAUGUGUACAAAGAGAUGCGCAUUUUCAGGGUAUAUUCUGUAUAUAUUAUAUUGCUUUCUCAACCUGUAUGGUUUUGGAAAAAAAAAAAAAGGAAGAAAAGGAAGAAAAUCCUGCCUUUGAGAAGGAAAAAAAAAAAUAAGAUCAAGAUGAUGAUGGACUUGUUUGGUUUUCUCCUCUUUUUAAAGUCUUUCUUGUGUGCAUAAAAGUGGCAACAAGUAUAUGUGACUAAUGGCAACAUUUCAGUGUUGUACUUGUGAUGAACUGCAAAAUAACACCUACCAAGAAGCAUCCCACAUUUUACUAUUUCUAGUUUCCUUGAUUUUCCUAUCCAGUGCUCUGUAACAUUGAUCACAAUAUUUCAAGUAUCACUGCAGAUGCCACCAAGCUUCAAGGACUUCUAGAUGCAAAGGAAAAAUAACAUUUACAAACUAUGUCUAUGCCGAGUCACUGCAAUGUACUGCAGUGCAGAGUCAAUAUGUUAUCUACAGUACCUUCAUCUAGCUUGUUCAAAUAGUGUUAGCAGCCUAGCUGUGGUAAAAGCAGCUCAGCACAGGAUAGCUUUAUCAAUUUCUGUAAACUGGAAUUAUUUCAGGAACCAAGACAUAAACCCCUGCCCUAUUAUGACAAAGAACCAAUCUUUCAUAGACUGAAAUAAAAAUACUUUGAGGCCAUUGUAAUCUAUACCUACUUAUCUUACAUAGAACUGAUAUACUUACGAGCACAUUUGUAUAAAUUUACUUCAUUCAGUAAGAAAUACUGUCUGACAGAUGUUCAUGAGGCAGUCAAGAUAAACAUGUUCACUGUGACUUUUGUUGACUACGUGUGUGUGUGUGUAUACAUACAUAUGCCCAGACAAUAUUUCUUUCUUACUGACAAUAUAUGCGUAUACCGCAAAUAUAAAUAUAUAGUGUUGACAAUAGGUAUGUAAUGAAUUGCAGGCCUAUCCCAAGAUUUUAGGCAUUAUGUAAUAUCCAUAGAGGAUAAAUCUACUUAAUCCUUGUUAUAAUAUAUUCCUAAAAAUCCAUAUUCACUCAAGAAGUGAUUGCUGAAGCAUAAACUGUUUUUCUCUUCAUUUUAAGUAAGUUUUAACCUUUAGAGAAAUAAUUUUCAUUUCAGUUAAGAAAUAGCCCAAGUAAAAUUUAAAUUAAAAAAAAUAGCUCUUUGGUGGAUCAUGUAGAUUUUUGGUAUCUUCUUUAAUAGUUCUGCUGGAAGCUUUACCUGAAAACUCUGCUAAACCAGUUUUGCUUUUAAAAGAAACUUUGAUUUUAUAGCAGUCUGAAUUAAU